GGAAGAUCAGGAUGUCGUAUAAUCAGAACUUCCAGCUGACUCGCUACGACUACUCCUGGGAGGAGAGGAGGCCUCGCUACGAAUCUUACCCGUUGCCUUACGGCUCUCAGAUUCAAUUUGGAGGAGUCUAUGCAGGCUAUCCACCGCCUUUCGGGAACUUCGACAGGGACGCCUACAACUUGACUGAUAUUGCAAACCAGGCCACCUACAACGAUAGUCAAGCUAAUAUCGACAGUUCAACAGCGUCUGGUCCCAAUGGAGGCAACAGCAAACCCUACAACUUCACUAAGAUUGCACAAGGGGCCACCUACAACAAGAGCACUGCUCAUAUUACCAGCAAAACAGGCUGCUAACAAACAUCAGGAACAGUAAGCUC
RNAcentral lists this unclassified non-coding RNA (376 nucleotides) under Hevea brasiliensis (rubber tree). The record is from RNAcentral. Lineage: Eukaryota; Viridiplantae; Streptophyta; Magnoliopsida; Malpighiales; Euphorbiaceae.